This 367-nucleotide ribosomal RNA is filed under the name uncultured bacterium. Its description in RNAcentral is "bacterial SSU rRNA". It matches the Rfam family "Bacterial small subunit ribosomal RNA", at positions 527 to 896 of the family's 1533-position model. The record is from RNAcentral.
GAAGGUGGCUAGCGUUGUUCGGAUUUACUGGGCGUAAAGGGAGCGUAGGUGGUUUGGUAAGCCCUUCGGGAAAUCUUCGGGCUCAACCCGGAAAGUUCGGAGGGGACUGCCAGGCUAGAGGACGGGAGAGGAGCGCGGAAUUCCCGGUGUAGCGGUGAAAUGCGUAGAGAUCGGGAGGAAGGCCGGUGGCGAAGGCGGCGCUCUGGAACGUUUCUGACACUGAGGCUCGAAAGCGUGGGGAGCAAACAGGAUUAGAUACCCUGGUAGUCCACGCCCUAAACGAUGGAUACUAAGUGUCGGCGGGUUACCGCCGGUGCCGCAGCUAACGCAGUAAGUAUCCCGCCUGGGGAGUACGGCCGCAAGGUUG